Molecule: long non-coding RNA, 2678 nt
Organism: Lolium rigidum
Lineage: Eukaryota; Viridiplantae; Streptophyta; Magnoliopsida; Poales; Poaceae
Exons: 3
Source: RefSeq, a predicted model, not a curated record
CUGCCGUAAUGCGCUCAUCCCAGCUCCACAAAUCCGUCGACCUCAGUGUCGCGGCCGCUGCCGCUGCCGCUCGGAGAUUCCGCGCCGUAUUGGCGUCGUGCUCGUCGAUCCCAGCUUCCCCGGUUCAAUUCCUCCCACUCCCUCGCCGACGGUCCCGAAUCCCAGACGGCACUGGGGGGAGCUGCGCGUGGAGCGCUUCCCGAUGGACGACGGCGCGUCCAUGGGUGACUGCACCGCCCACCGCAAGUACUUGUUUUCCUCCUUCCAGCCUCACAUUCCCCCGCUCGGGAGCGCAGUAUUCCCGUGCUGAACCCGUCGUCGCCGCGCCUCACCAUCCUCGACGCCCUCUCUGCCAGGCUUCUCUUCUGCACGGUUGUAAAGGGAUUGGGCGGUGGCAUAACAGGCCACGAGAGCGAUCUCCAACUUGGUGGAUCCUCUCUUAGCUUGAAGGAACUUGCGAAGAAAUCAUGCCCAAGCAGUUUUUAAAUAGCAAGAUCACUAGCACACAUGCUGAUGUGCACCCAAUUUCACUGAUGACUGUGGGAUGCAUCUAUAUCCUAUACUCAGAAUACUCUUAAAGCGAGAAAUGCUUUUUUUCUGAAUUUUUUCUUUGUUAAAUACUUGAUGGGUAGAUGGUAUGCUUGAUUUGUUAUUCUGCACUCAUUUUUGGCAAAGUAGUAUGUAUACUAUUUUGAUUUACCAUUAUGUGAAUUAAAUUAUUAGCAUACACUAGAAGCUAAAUUUUCUUGAUUAACCAUGGUCCGGUAUUAUGCAUAAUUUUCUAAGUUGUUGCCUGCAAUGGUAUCUUAAAUCUAGCGCUAGUGGGCAUGCUCAGCUAGGUUUAGGCAAAUUAUUCUGGUUCUAUAAUUAUAAAUUUACAGAGCUGGAGUGUUUUAACAAUAAAACUUCACCUUUAAGUGGAACAGAAAAUUCAUCAAGUCUCUUUGGUAGUAUCAUGGUAAGCAUGCCUGAUAUUUGAAGUUUCCCAGUGCAGAUCCACUGAGAAUAUGCGAGGAAAUAUGCGUUGCUAAUAGGUGAGAAUAUUUUUAUGUACGGUGUUAGUGAGACUGCCAGGUGCUAGAAGAAAACGCGUAAUGCUUGAACAAUCUUUUAUUAAUUUUACAUCUUUUCUUCAUAUACGUCUCUUAGUCUCCGUGGCUCACUCAGCUGUAUUUUGUUUUGAGAAUAUUUCCACUGUAGUUUGUAAGUAUGUUAUUUCGAAAGGUCGUAAAAAUGCUACUCACAGACAUGAAGUGAAAAUGAUAUAUAUCUUGAGGAGAACCAACAAUGCUGCUAAUGUAACUUCAGUUUAGCUUGUCUUUAGAGAUGGAUAGAUGUGGAAAAAAAUGCAUGUCAGUAUAUCCUUCUACUAAUUAGUCUAUUUUUCAAUAAAAAUUUAUUAGUGAUAUGUUUUCUUCUUAAGCUCUUCACAUGGUGAAGUUAUAUGGCCCUUGCGCCUGUGGUUUGCUAGCCAGUGAUACUUAUUAUCAUGUGACGCAUUAGUUGCUCCAAACAUAAUAUAAAUGCUUCAAUAACUUAUCUCUGAAAGGAAAUCUUAUUUCUGAAGUUUCCAAUUCUGCUGGGGCUUGCAGAUUUAAAAUAUGUUUUGGCUCAUUUUCAAAACAACUUACGUUGUUGAUUGGUGUCUGAUUGUUCAGUCAUAUGGAUAAAUAGCCUCAUGCUUUCUAGAUUGUACGUAUCACUGGCAUAGCUGUAUGGUCAAGUGACCUGAAUUAUGACUCUAGAUCUGUCCAGCUAACGAUGAUAUGCAACCUACUUAACCGUAUCUAUUUUAUCCGUUGUCACAUCUUAUUUUUUUACAAGGCUCAGCGUGCUGAUUUCAUUCUUUCUCGGAGCUUGUUGGUAAUUGCUUGCAGUUCGCAUUCCUAUUGUUGAUUCAAGUUGCUGCAAACCAAGCAUCUGCACAUGUUUGUUACAGAAAUUCAAGUUCUGUCGUCAGGUUUCAGCCAUGUUGGUAAAUACUAACAGUCGGUCAUGCAUAUCAUGGUCUAUGCAGUUUUCUUAGAGUUACUACCCUGAUUUUUCGUGCAAUUUAGAUCUAUUCUUCACUUAGAAGCAUUUGCCUAAUUUGUUGAGCGUUCACUUAUAGUGACGCUCUUCGGUUGCAAGAUGAUUUGUCUUAUUUUCUUUCAUAGAUGGCAAACUAACUACUUACUAGAUUUGACUAGCUAUUUACCUUCACAUGUUAGAAACAGAACAAAAGUUUGUGUCACCUUUGUGUUGCCAAGAGCAAAUGUUUGGGUCACCAUCAUGUAAUGAAUUGUCCAUUUUUAUUUACCUUAUCAUACAAUUCAUUUGUUGCUGACACAUAUUACUGAACAAAUAAUCUUAUGUGUCCUUCUUUCUUAUGGAGCUUUCAGAUUCACCAUCCGUUUGGCAUGUUUUUUUAACAAACCUACAACCUGAAAGAUCAUGCUGGUGAUGAGCAUUCGAGUUCAAGACUGAUGAGAAGCAACCGAUCUGUGGGGCUUCACAUAUGUCAUGCUAGCCCCAACAAGAUGCAUUCGAGUUCAAGAUUGAUGAGAAGCAAUUGAUCCGAGGGGCUUCACAUAUGUCAUGCUAGCCCCAACAAGGUGCCGAUGAGGUGACCUUCAGCACCGUGUUGCCUAGUAGGAUGAAAAUGAGUCAUCAAAACCCCAGUGGAAUUAUUAUACCAA